GUUCCCCCUUCAUCCCAAGGCUGCAGGAUGGUGUCCUGGAUGAUCUGUCGCCUGGUGGUGUUGGUGUUUGGGAUGCUGUACCCAGCUUAUGCUUCCUACAUAAGGCUGUGAAGACCAAGAACAUUCGUGAAUAUGUCCGGUGGGUGAUGUACUGGAUAGCCUUUGCACUGUUCAUGGCCGUGGAGACCUUCACAGACAUCUUUAUUCCCUGGUUGCCUUUCUGCUAUGAGAUCAAAAUGGCCUUUGUGCUGUGGUUGCUAUCACCUUACACCAAAGGGGCCGGCCUGCUUCACCACAAGUUUGGCCACCCAUCCUUGUCCUGUCACUAGAACGAGAUUGACACCUGCAUCGCGCAGGCCAAGGAGCGCAGCUAUGAGAUGGCGCUCCUCUUUGGGAAAUGGGGCCUCGACAGUGCUGCUUCAGCCACUGUGCAGGCUGCCACCAAGAGUCAGGGUGCGCUGGCCGGAAGGCUGCGAAGUUUCUCCAUACAGGACCUGCGCUCCAUCCCUGAUGCCCCUGCCCCCGCCUCCCGGGAUGCCCUCUACCUGGAGGACCAAGUACCUCGCCGCAGGCCUCCCAUUGGGUACUGAGCAGGGGGCCAGCAAGACAGCGACACCGACGAUGAGUGUUGGUCAGACACAGAGGCAGUUCCCCAGCCACCCAGCCGGCCCCGAGAGAAGCCUCUCGGCCGCAGCCAGAGCCUGCCUGUGGUCAAGAGGAAGCCACCAGUGCGGGAGGGCACCACCUCGCGCUCCCUGAAGGUUCGGACAAGGAAAAAGACCAUUUCUUCAGACAUGAACAGCUAG
Molecule: RNA transcript, 806 nt
Organism: Odobenus rosmarus divergens (Pacific walrus)
Lineage: Eukaryota; Metazoa; Chordata; Mammalia; Carnivora; Odobenidae
Gene name: receptor expression-enhancing protein 4-like
Exons: 1
Source: RefSeq, a predicted model, not a curated record